This 72-nucleotide transfer RNA is filed under the name Marmota monax (woodchuck). It matches the Rfam family "tRNA". From Rfam's summary of the family: Transfer RNA (tRNA) molecules are approximately 80 nucleotides in length. Their secondary structure includes four short double-helical elements and three loops (D, anti-codon, and T loops). The record is from Rfam by way of RNAcentral. Lineage: Eukaryota; Metazoa; Chordata; Mammalia; Rodentia; Sciuridae. RNAcentral also lists the same sequence under 3 other names.
GGAGGUGUAGCUAAUUGGUAGAGCACAUGCUUAGCAUGCACAAGGUCCUGGGUUCAAACUCCAGCACCCUUC